Molecule: long non-coding RNA, 724 nt
Filed under: Homo sapiens (human)
Lineage: Eukaryota; Metazoa; Chordata; Mammalia; Primates; Hominidae
Description: long intergenic non-protein coding RNA 1837
Source: RNAcentral
GUGGUAAGGGGUGAACAUCCUUGGGAAGCCACAGAGAGCAAGGCGCAGUUUUUCAUUGAUCACCACUUUCAAGAUGCUCCCAGAAUCGUGCUGUCUAGGAAGCCAUUUAAACUGGUGAGAAGCCAUCCUCUCUUGAAUGGGGGCUCCCACUGUACAUCUGGCACCCACUUCACAGAUUCUGGGGGAUGUCAACACCAGCACUGCUGAGCUGUGUGACCUUGAGCAAGACAGUUAGCCUCUCUGAACCUCAGUGUCCUUCUCUGUAGGCUGGAGAUUGAUAUACCUUCAUUAUCGGGGUAUGAGAGUGUUAUAAAUCCAUGAACUGGAAGAUGCUUUCUUAUAACUCAGAGAAAAGAGAUGAAAAUGAAUCAAAGAACAGGAAGGAGACAAGCUCAGGAGGUCAACUCUCCACCUUCCCACCCACUCUGUGCCUGGAAGGGUGACUCCUCUGGCCACCUCUGGCUUCUUGCUUGGUGUGAUCAAAGGAGACUGGAGGAUGCAAGGAGAGUGAAGCGGUAUUUAUUUCUGGUUCUGGGUUUCUGCAACUUCUCUCUGCCCUUUCCCCUUGCGCCCAGCCAGUGUUUAAAUCCACCACUAUCCCUGUGGUCUUCCAAUACCCUGACCUCACCUUUGUGGAUAAGGGACUGUUUACUCAAUCCAGGCUUCAGGCUGUUUCCUACAGCUACCCAUCUAAAAGCCUAAGAAAUAAAACAAAAUAAAAGUA